RNAcentral lists this long non-coding RNA (533 nucleotides) under Trifolium pratense (red clover). RNAcentral's name for it is "long non-coding RNA (TPRA_LNC005421)". Lineage: Eukaryota; Viridiplantae; Streptophyta; Magnoliopsida; Fabales; Fabaceae. The record is from RNAcentral.
UACCGCAAAGAUAAGGGACCAUGCCAUGGAGCAAAUGAAUUCUUCACCAUGAAUUGAAUUUAUGGAAGUGAUUUUUUCACCAUAAAUUAAAUUUAUGGAAGCAAUUCAUGAAGCUUAGCAAUCACCAAGGGGUGUCAAGGAUAGAGCUUCAAGGAAGACUCAAAAACAAGGAACUAAAUCCACCCCAGAAAAACAUAUAGCAGAAACAGAACCUCCAAUUUCAGACCGGAGGUGUUCGGCGGCGAUGGUGCGGUGGGUACUUUCUCCAAUUUCAGACCCUCUUCCCAUUCAAUUCCUCUCUCACAACAACCUUAUCAUCGUCUUCAAUUAUCUCCUCAUCAAUUUCUGGUCCUUCUUCUUCUCUCUUUCUCUCUAUCUCUAUCAAUUUCUUUCAAUUGUUUUUUCAUUUUUACUUAUUAUUAUUUUCCAGAAAUUUCUUCCUCUGCUUCUUUUUCUUCUAUGUUUCUUAAUUUCUGCUUCUUGUUGUUGCUAUGGUGACUUUGAUGGUGAUUUUUUGAGAGAUGAAAGUUGAG